GGGCACAUGGGGGCUACAUUUUAGCGGCUCAUAACCGCUUGGUUGGGGGUUCGAGUCCCUCCGGGCCCACCA
This 72-nucleotide transfer RNA is filed under the name Rhizobium leguminosarum. RNAcentral describes it as "tRNA-Ser". It matches the Rfam family "tRNA". Rfam says of the family: Transfer RNA (tRNA) molecules are approximately 80 nucleotides in length. Their secondary structure includes four short double-helical elements and three loops (D, anti-codon, and T loops). The record is from RNAcentral. Lineage: Bacteria; Pseudomonadati; Pseudomonadota; Alphaproteobacteria; Hyphomicrobiales; Rhizobiaceae.